GCGCGAUUGGAGCGGCCGAUGUCGGAUUAGCUAGUUGGUAGGGUAAAGGCCUACCAAGGCGACGAUCCGUAGCGGGUCUGAGAGGAUGAUCCGCCACACUGGGACUGAGACACGGCCCAGACUCCUACGGGAGGCAGCAGUGGGGAAUUUUGGACAAUGGGCGCAAGCCUGAUCCAGCCAUGCCGCGUGAGUGAAGAAGGCCUUCGGGUUGUAAAGCUCUUUCAGGUGGAAAGAAAACGCAUGGGUCAAUACCCUGUGUGGAUGACGGUACCAUCAGAAGAAGCACCGGCUAACUACGUGCCAGCAGCCGCGGUAAUACGUAGGGUGCGAGCGUUAAUCGGAAUUACUGGGCGUAAAGCGUGCGCAGGCGGUGAUGUAAGACAGAUGUGAAAUCCCCGGGCUCAACCUGGGAACUGCGUUUGUGACUGCAUCACUCGAGUACGGCAGAGGGAGGUGGAAUUCCGCGUGUAGCAGUGAAAUGCGUAGAUAUGCGGAGGAACACCGAUGGCGAAGGCAGCCU
This 520-nucleotide ribosomal RNA is filed under the name Zoogloea sp. RNAcentral's name for it is "bacterial SSU rRNA". It matches the Rfam family "Bacterial small subunit ribosomal RNA", at positions 215 to 727 of the family's 1533-position model. The record is from RNAcentral. Lineage: Bacteria; Pseudomonadati; Pseudomonadota; Betaproteobacteria; Rhodocyclales; Zoogloeaceae.